UUUAUCUUACCUAAGAUUAAGAAUCAGAUACAGAUCUCUGGUAGUCAUCCUCCCCUCCCUCAUGGUUAUUAACUAAGUAAUUGGAAGCCUAAAAUACCUGUCCGUAAAUCUUACAGAAAGAGUGGAUUAUUCUAGAACAUCAGUUUUUAGCUACUAGUUAGCAAAAUUGAAAAACAAAAUAGCCAGGGAAAACACAUAUGUUCAAAAGUUCUAGUAGUGAAUCUGAGGUGAUUUGAACUGCAACUGAUGUCCUCCUGUCUUUGUUGUAGACUAUUAUUCCAGCUACUUUUUAAAGAUAUACUCAUUCAAGUGUAAUUAAAUUUUAAGUAUGAACUAAUCUAAUGUUGGUUGUCUUAAACCUACAUACAUUGUAAACUUUCUUUAUUUGUAUAUGUUCAAAUUGAAUUUAGUUAUUCUUUAUCACUCCAUUUUCAAGUAAUGGAAAUGUAGUUAUAAACUGGGAACAUUGCAUAAUACUCAGAGAUAACAUAACUUUUAAAUUAUGCCAUAUUUAUCUAUGUACUAAUGGGCACAGUGAAAUAAAUCUCUAGUAAAUCCUUUUUUCCCUAA
Molecule: long non-coding RNA, 570 nt
Filed under: Bos taurus (domestic cattle)
Lineage: Eukaryota; Metazoa; Chordata; Mammalia; Artiodactyla; Bovidae
Description: long non-coding RNA NONBTAT000113
Source: RNAcentral